ACUCCGGUGACCUAGUGGUUAGAGCGUCCGCCUCUGAUGCGGAAGGUCGUGGGUUCGAUUUCCAGCUGAGGCA
This is a non-coding RNA of Potamilus streckersoni, 73 nucleotides long. The record is from the annotation of a GenBank genome assembly. NCBI's taxonomy places the organism in Eukaryota, Metazoa, Mollusca, Bivalvia, Unionida, Unionidae.